RNAcentral lists this long non-coding RNA (542 nucleotides) under Homo sapiens (human). RNAcentral's name for it is "HSALNT0361789". Lineage: Eukaryota; Metazoa; Chordata; Mammalia; Primates; Hominidae. The record is from RNAcentral.
CUUGGGAAGUGAGCACGCGCAGUGCGUUUAGGAAGUUGUACGCAUACCCAACUGAAGCUUUCUUCCCUUCUCCAGUGGAGUGCACCUGGCUAGAUUAUCUCCUAACUUUAAAACUUUGGAUGAAUAAUUAUAAAGCAGCAAAUUGGUGUUGCAAAGAGAAGACAUGAAAAGCAGAGUUUAGUAGAUAUUUUCUAUGAUUCACUCUUGAGAGAGAUAACAGAAACUGAAGUGAAGUAUCCUUGAUCUUGGAACUCCAUUCCUCCCCUGCUGAGUGAGAGGAGUCUCAGACUGUGGAAAAUAAAUGGCUGACAGAACAAGAUCAUAGAGUUUUCCUAUAUUCUGUAAGUUACUGACAAAAAGCAGGUUGAGUUAAAACUAAGUCCAUGUAACCCAGCAUGUUGAGAAAGAUCUUUGAGAAAGAGUCCUCAGAUUGUUCUUCAGCUUUGAGAGACUGAAUGGAUCAGACAAGGAUAACCAAAACCUAGACCUUGUUGCUUUAGAGGAGUCAGGAAUCAGCAAAAUAAUUUUGAAACAUAAUAAAC